UACAGAGGUGGCAAGCGUUGUUCGGAAUCACUGGGCAUAAAGAGCGCGUAGGCGGUCUGACAAGUCCCCUGUGAAAGCCCCCGGCUUAACCGGGGAACUGCAUGGGAUACUGUUGGGCUAGAGUGCAGGAGGGGAGAGCGGAAUUCCUGGUGGAGCGGUGAAAUGCGUAGAUAUCAGGAGGAACGCCGGCGGCGAAAGCGACUCUCUGGCCUGUAACUGACGCUGAGGCGCGAAAGCUAGGGGAGCAAACGGG
Molecule: ribosomal RNA, 253 nt
Filed under: uncultured bacterium
Lineage: Bacteria
Description: partial 16S ribosomal RNA
Rfam family: Bacterial small subunit ribosomal RNA
Source: RNAcentral